RNAcentral lists this ribosomal RNA (1532 nucleotides) under Salmonella enterica. Its description in RNAcentral is "partial 23S ribosomal RNA". It matches the Rfam family "Bacterial large subunit ribosomal RNA", at positions 1 to 1565 of the family's 2925-position model. The record is from RNAcentral. Lineage: Bacteria; Pseudomonadati; Pseudomonadota; Gammaproteobacteria; Enterobacterales; Enterobacteriaceae.
GGGUUGUGAGGUUAAGCGACUAAGCGUACACGGUGGAUGCCCUGGCAGUCAGAGGCGAUGAAGGACGUGCUAAUCUGCGAUAAGCGCCGGUAAGGUGAUAUGAACCGUUAUAACCGGCGAUUUCCGAAUGGGGAAACCCAGUGUGACUCGUCACACUAUCAUUAACUGAAUCCAUAGGUUAAUGAGGCGAACCGGGGGAACUGAAACAUCUAAGUACCCCGAGGAAAAGAAAUCAACCGAGAUUCCCCCAGUAGCGGCGAGCGAACGGGGAGGAGCCCAGAGCCUGAAUCAGCAUGUGUGUUAGUGGAAGCGUCUGGAAAGGCGCGCGAUACAGGGUGACAGCCCCGUACACAAAAGCGCAUGUGCUGUGAGCUCGAUGAGUAGGGCGGGACACGUGGUAUCCUGUCUGAAUAUGGGGGGACCAUCCUCCAAGGCUAAAUACUCCUGACUGACCGAUAGUGAACCAGUACCGUGAGGGAAAGGCGAAAAGAACCCCGGCGAGGGGAGUGAAAAAGAACCUGAAACCGUGUACGUACAAGCAGUGGGAGCACCCUUUGGGGUGUGACUGCGUACCUUUUGUAUAAUGGGUCAGCGACUUAUAUUCUGUAGCAAGGUUAACCGUAUAGGGGAGCCGGAGGGAAACCGAGUCUUAAUUGGGCGUUAAGUUGCAGGGUAUAGACCCGAAACCCGGUGAUCUAGCCAUGGGCAGGUUGAAGGUUGGGUAACACUAACUGGAGGACCGAACCGACUAAUGUUGAAAAAUUAGCGGAUGACCUGUGGCUGGGGGUGAAAGGCCAAUCAAACCGGGAGAUAGCUGGUUCUCCCCGAAAGCUAUUUAGGUAGCGCCUCGUGAAUUCAUCUCCGGGGGUAGAGCACUGUUUCGGCUAGGGGGCCAUCCCGGCUUACCAACCCGAUGCAAACUGCGAAUACCGGAGAAUGUUAUCACGGGAGACACACGGCGGGUGCUAACGUCCGUCGUGAAGAGGGAAACAACCCAGACCGCCAGCUAAGGUCCCAAAGUCAUGGUUAAGUGGGAAACGAUGUGGGAAGGCCCAGACAGCCAGGAUGUUGGCUUAGAAGCAGCCAUCAUUUAAAGAAAGCGUAAUAGCUCACUGGUCGAGUCGGCCUGCGCGGAAGAUGUAACGGGGCUAAACCAUGCACCGAAGCUGCGGCAGCGACACUCAGGUGUUGUUGGGUAGGGGAGCGUUCUGUAAGCCUGUGAAGGUGGCCUGUGAGGGUUGCUGGAGGUAUCAGAAGUGCGAAUGCUGACAUAAGUAACGAUAAAGCGGGUGAAAAGCCCGCUCGCCGGAAGACCAAGGGUUCCUGUCCAACGUUAAUCGGGGCAGGGUGAGUCGACCCCUAAGGCGAGGCCGAAAGGCGUAGUCGAUGGGAAACGGGUUAAUAUUCCCGUACUUGGUGUUACUGCGAAGGGGGGACGGAGAAGGCUAUGUUGGCCGGGCGACGGUUGUCCCGGUUUAAGCGUAUAGGUGUGUGUUCCAGGUAAAUCCGGUUCACUUUAACACUGAGGCGUG